This 118-nucleotide non-coding RNA is filed under the name bovine gut metagenome. Its description in RNAcentral is "FMN riboswitch (RFN element)". It matches the Rfam family "FMN riboswitch aptamer (RFN element)". From Rfam's summary of the family: The RFN element is a highly conserved domain that is found frequently in the 5'-untranslated regions of prokaryotic mRNAs that encode for flavin mononucleotide (FMN) biosynthesis and transport proteins. This element is a metabolite-dependent riboswitch that directly binds FMN in the absence of proteins. The record is from RNAcentral.
GUUUCAGGGCGGGGUGGAAGUCCCCACCGGCAGUAUAGUCUGCGAGCUUGAGAGCAUCGUCUCGAUGGUUGAUCCGGUGAGAUCCCGGAACCGACAGUCACAGUCUGGAUGGGAGAAA